This is a long non-coding RNA of Myotis myotis, 474 nucleotides long. RefSeq lists it as uncharacterized. The transcript is spliced from 4 exons. NCBI's taxonomy places the organism in Eukaryota, Metazoa, Chordata, Mammalia, Chiroptera, Vespertilionidae. The record is from RefSeq and is a predicted model, not a curated record.
UUCUUACAGGCCAAGGCAAUCCACAGCAACCCUGUGCUCACCUCUGUAAUUUGCUGUGUGAAGUACUUCAUUGUUACGCGCAGGUCUUUCCCACUAAACUUUGAAGAGUUAAACAGAAGAGGAAUAACUUAAUAGCAAGCAUUUUGAGAUUUCAAAACAAUACUUGAGAUAUUCUAUUUUCAAAAGUACAAAUCUGCAGUGCAAUCAGAUUCAAGGAUUUGGAUGACUAAAGCAGAUGAUCAGUCAUAAAGAGUAUGCGAGCCAGUGGAUUGACAUUCUUGGAUCCGGUCUAAACAUUCUGAUGAACAGUUCCGCAGCAGAUAUGUCAGCAUGACUUCUUUUUAAAUGAUUUUAUUUGGAUUGCCUUCCAGGAUUCCCAAGACUGUGUUAAGCAGAGCAAUUAUAAUAGUUUAGAGAGUAUGAGCAAGAAACAACCCACAUGUAAUAAAAUAUGAAGAAAAAGAGGGCACCUGG